This 301-nucleotide ribosomal RNA is filed under the name uncultured bacterium. RNAcentral describes it as "partial 16S ribosomal RNA". It matches the Rfam family "Bacterial small subunit ribosomal RNA", at positions 509 to 807 of the family's 1533-position model. The record is from RNAcentral.
CAGUCGCCGCGGUAAUACAAAGGAUGCAAGCGUUACUCGGAAUCACUGGGCGUAAAGGACGCGUAGGCGGAUUAUCAAGUCUCUUGUGAAAUCUAACGGCUUAACCGUUAAACUGCUUGGGAAACUGAUAAUCUAGAGUAGGGGAGAGGCAGAUGGAAUUCUUGGUGUAGGGGUAAAAUCCGUAGAGAUCAAGAAGAAUACCCAUUGCGAAAGCGAUCUGCUGGAACUUAACUGACGCUAAUGCGUGAAAGCGUGGGGAGCGAACAGGAUUAGAUACCCGUGUAGUCCCUGUCUCUUAUAC